Long non-coding RNA from Nematolebias whitei (Rio pearlfish), 786 nucleotides. RefSeq lists it as uncharacterized. The transcript has 3 exons. The record is from RefSeq and is a predicted model, not a curated record. Lineage: Eukaryota; Metazoa; Chordata; Actinopteri; Cyprinodontiformes; Rivulidae.
GCAUGCGUAUUCUGCAGGAGGCUCGCCACGUUUAGAAGAGUCGUCAUCAGCUCUUCAUUCACUACAACAUUUCAGUUAAUCACACACCACAAGAUACGAAACAAUACCGGUUCCAGUGGGCGGGGUUCAAAUUGACAUCACCACCUCUCACCAGCUGGUAGCGCUGAGGCGCUGAGACGCUGAAACUGUUUUCAGUACAGGUGGUGCCUGCCUAUGUUUAGAGCUGAUUAAAAGAAGAAGCUCCUCAAGACUGAAGGCUUGAUGUGGACCAGCAGGACCCAGAGCCUCUUAUCAUGGAAUGGAAGAGAAGACCUUUAGACCAGUCUGGUGGGAGACCAACUCAAUAAGGAGGACACCAAUAUCAGGUUUUUGGUCACUACAGUUUCUUUAAAGAGUGAAGAGGAUAAACACAAACUUACCAGGCAGGAACCCAGAUUUAAAGACUCACAAAGGCAGUUCCAGCUUUUCAAAGACUGACAUUAACGAGGACGAUGAAGAGGAUGGUGAAAUGACCAGUCCUGACUCUGCUAAAGAACUCAUCAGACUCUGAAUCAGAAUGUGAAGACAGAAUGAAAGACUGGAAGAAGAGCAGGGCUCCUGGAUCAGGGGUAAAAACUGUCAACAAAUUUUGGGGCUGCUCUGAGUGUGGUAAGCAGUAUGUCAGUAACUGGACUCUUCAAAGACACAUGACAAGCCAUUCAGGAGUGAAGUCAUCAAGCUGUCUGCUUAAUAAUAUAUGUGUUGGAGAGAAGACAAUAGUAGAGUCACGCAGGAAAGUCCAAGCAA